RNAcentral lists this unclassified non-coding RNA (68 nucleotides) under Rhodotorula toruloides. The record is from RNAcentral. Lineage: Eukaryota; Fungi; Basidiomycota; Microbotryomycetes; Sporidiobolales; Sporidiobolaceae.
CAGCUGCGGGUCCAGGAGCUGUAAGAGGAUGUCGACGAGCACCUCCGUACCACCGGCAAAACGAACAA